RNAcentral lists this ribosomal RNA (489 nucleotides) under uncultured bacterium. Its description in RNAcentral is "bacterial SSU rRNA". It matches the Rfam family "Bacterial small subunit ribosomal RNA", at positions 30 to 518 of the family's 1533-position model. The record is from RNAcentral.
AUUGAACGCUGGCGGCAUGCCUUACACAUGCAAGUCGAACGGUAACGGGCCUUCGGGUGCCGACGAGUGGCGAACGGGUGAGUAAUGCAUCGGAACGUACCUUUCAGUGGGGGAUAACGUAGCGAAAGUUACGCUAAUACCGCAUAUUCUGUGAGCAGGAAAGCAGGGGAUCGCAAGACCUUGCGCUGAUUGAGCGGCCGAUGUCAGAUUAGCUAGUUGGUGAGGUAAGGGCUCACCAAGGCGACGAUCUGUAGCGGGUCUGAGAGGAUGAUCCGCCACACUGGAACUGAGACACGGUCCAGACUCCUACGGGAGGCAGCAGUGGGGAAUUUUGGACAAUGGGGGCAACCCUGAUCCAGCCAUGCCGCGUGAGUGAAGAAGGCCUCGGUUGUAAGCUCUUCGGCCGGAGGAAAUCGUAUGGGUUAAUACCCUGUGCGGAUGACGGUACCGGCAUAAGAAGCACCGGCUAACUACGUGCCAGCAGCCGAC